Molecule: long non-coding RNA, 260 nt
Filed under: Panax ginseng (ginseng)
Lineage: Eukaryota; Viridiplantae; Streptophyta; Magnoliopsida; Apiales; Araliaceae
Description: long non-coding RNA (PGIN_LNC000357)
Source: RNAcentral
UUCGGGGACGCUACAGUUGGUAUCAAAGAUGUUGGUUAUGAAGCUUAGGUAGGAAUACCUGAGACCAAUAACCGCAGUGAUUAGGAUAAGAUCUAACUCACAUAGAGUUAGUGGUCGGUAAGAUUCAAAGACGAAUCUCGGUAAGUUGUAAAGAUACAGAGUUCCCUAACUCUGGUAAUAAGGUUGAACAGAAGUGGUGAAUAGAUAAAGUCUAAAAGACUAAAAGUUCAGUGAUAGGAGAUCGUAAAACAAAACGAUCA